Molecule: ribosomal RNA, 497 nt
Filed under: uncultured bacterium
Lineage: Bacteria
Description: partial 16S ribosomal RNA
Rfam family: Bacterial small subunit ribosomal RNA
Source: RNAcentral
GAUGAACGCUGGCGGCGUGCCUAAUACAUGCAAGUCGAGCGAACAGACGAGGAGCUUGCUCCUCUGACGUUAGCGGCGGACGGGUGAGUAACACGUGGAUAACCUACCUAUAAGACUGGGAUAACUUCGGGAAACCGGAGCUAAUACCGGAUAAUAUAUUGAACCGCAUGGUUCAAUAGUGAAAGACGGUUUUGCUGUCACUUAUAGAUGGAUCCGCGCCGCAUUAGCUAGUUGGUAAGGUAACGGCUUACCAAGGCGACGAUGCGUAGCCGACCUGAGAGGGUGAUCGGCCACACUGGAACUGUGACACGGUCCAGACUCCUACGGGAGGCAGCAGUAGGGAAUCUUCCGCAAUGGGCGAAAGCCUGACGGAGCAACGCCGCGUGAGUGAUGAAGGUCUUCGGAUCGUAAAACUCUGCUAUUAGGGAAGAACAAAUGUGUAAGUAACUAUGCACGUCUUGACGGUACCUAAUCAGAAAGCCACGGCUAACUACGUG